RNAcentral lists this ribosomal RNA (506 nucleotides) under uncultured bacterium. RNAcentral describes it as "partial 16S ribosomal RNA". It matches the Rfam family "Bacterial small subunit ribosomal RNA", at positions 30 to 523 of the family's 1533-position model. The record is from RNAcentral.
AUUGAACGCUGGCGGCAUGCCUAACACAUGCAAGUCGAACGGCAGCACGGUCUAGCUUGCUAGAUGGGUGGCGAGUGGCGCACGGGUGAGUAACGCGUAGGAAUAUGCCUUGAAGUGGGGGAUAACUUGGGGAAACUCAAGCUAAUACCGCAUCAGCUCUUAGGAGGAAAGCUGGGGACCGUAAGGCCUGGCGCUUCAAGAUUAGCCCGCGUCCGAUUCGCUAGUUGGUGGGGUAAGGGCCUACCAAGGCGACGAUCGGUAGCUGGUCUGAGAGGACGGCCAACCACACUGGGACUGAGACACGGCCCAGACUCCUACGGGAGGCAGCGGUGGGGAAUAUUGGACAAUGGGGGCAACCCUGAUCCAGCAAUGCCGCGUGUGUGAAGAAGGCCUGAGGGUUGUAAAGCACUUUCAGUGGGGAGGAGGAUUGACAGUUUAAGAGCUAGUUAAUUGGACGUUACCCACAGAAGAAGCACCGGCUAACUCCGUGCCAGCCGCCGCCGUAA